RNAcentral lists this ribosomal RNA (494 nucleotides) under uncultured bacterium. RNAcentral's name for it is "bacterial SSU rRNA". It matches the Rfam family "Bacterial small subunit ribosomal RNA", at positions 8 to 524 of the family's 1533-position model. The record is from RNAcentral.
AGAGUUUGAUCCUGGCUCAGGAUAAACGCUGGCGGCGUGCUUCAGGCAUGCAAGUCGAACGACCCCCGACUUGUCGGGGGGAGUGGCGGACGGGUGAGUAACACGUAAGCAACCUGCCCAGAAGUGGGGAAUAACCCGCCGAAAGGCGAGCUAAUGCCGCAUGUGGUGUCAGGUCUCCGGACUCGUCACGAAAGGCUUCGGUCGCUUCUGGAGGGGCUUGCGUUCGAUUAGCUAGUUGGUAGGGUAACGGCCUACCAAGGUGACGAUCGAUAGCUGGUCUGAGAGGAUGGUCAGCCACACGGGGACUGAGACACGGCCCAGACUCCUACGGGAGGCAGCAGCAAGGAAUUUUGUGCAAUGGGCGAAAGCCUGACACAGCGACGCCGCGUGGGGGAUGAAGGCUUUCGGGUUGUAAACCCCUUUUCUCAGGGAUGAAUAAUGACAGUACCUGAGGAAUAAGCCAUGGCUAACUACGUGCCAGCAGCCGCGGUAAU